CCCUACGGGAGGCAGCAGUGGGGAAUAUUGCACAAUGGGGGAAACCCUGAUGCAGCGACGCCGCGUGAGUGAUGAAGUAUUUCGGUAUGUAAAGCUCUAUCAGCAGGGAAGAUAAUGACGGUACCUGACUAAGAAGCUCCGGCUAAAUACGUGCCAGCAGCCGCGGUAAUACGUAUGGAGCAAGCGUUAUCCGGAUUUAUUGGGUUUAAAGGGUGCGUAGGCGGAACAUUAAGUCAGCGGUAAAAUCGAGGGGCUCAACCCCUUUAAGCCGUUGAAACUGGUGAUCUUGAGUGGGCGAGAAGUAU
RNAcentral lists this ribosomal RNA (305 nucleotides) under uncultured bacterium. Its description in RNAcentral is "bacterial SSU rRNA". It matches the Rfam family "Bacterial small subunit ribosomal RNA", at positions 337 to 660 of the family's 1533-position model. The record is from RNAcentral.